AACGAACGCUGGCGGCAUGCCUAACACAUGCAAGUCGAACGAGACCUUCGGGUCUAGUGGCGCACGGGCGCGUAACGCGUGGGAACCUGCCCUUAGGUUCGGAAUAACUCCCCGAAAGGGGUGCUAAUACCGGAUAAUGUCUUCGGACCAAAGAUUUAUCGCCUUUGGAUGGGCCCGCGUUGGAUUAGCUAGUUGGUAGGGUAAAAGCCUACCAAGGCGACGAUCCAUAGCUGGUCUGAGAGGAUGAUCAGCCACACUGGGACUGAGACACGGCCCAGACUCCUACGGGAGGCAGCAGUGGGGAAUAUUGGACAAUGGGCGAAAGCCUGAUCCAGCAAUGCCGCGUGAGUGAUGAAGGCCUUAGGGUUGUAAAGCUCUUUUACCCGGGAUGAUAAUGUCAGUACCGGGAGAAUAAGCUCCGGCUAACUCCGU
Molecule: ribosomal RNA, 432 nt
Filed under: uncultured bacterium
Lineage: Bacteria
Description: partial 16S ribosomal RNA
Rfam family: Bacterial small subunit ribosomal RNA
Source: RNAcentral